AUGAAACCUCUUAAUGAAGAAGACUCAAGGAAAUUGUUUUUUAAUAGGAUAUUUUUCUCUGAAGAAGCUUGUCCAGGUCAACUCAGAGAUGUUUCAGUUGAGAUUCUCAAGAAAUGUGCUGGUUUGCCACUUGCAAUCAUUAGCAUAUCCAGCCUAUUAGCAAGUGAAAGUUCUCAGCAAAAGGAGAGGUGGAAACAUGUACAAAAUUCUUUGGGGUCAGUGUCGGGCACAAACCUCACCUUGGAAGCAAUGAGAUAUAUCCUGAACCUUAGUUACAAAAAUCUUUCUCACCACCUCAAGACAUGCUUCUUGUAUCUUGGUAUGUUUCCGGAGGACUAUACAAUAUAUAGGGAUGAUUUGGUAGGUCUCUGGAUAUCCGAAGGUUUUGUUAGUACAGCAUGCGGACAAAGCCCAGAACAGACUGCGAUAAGUUAUUUCAAUGAGCUUGUCAACAGGAGCCUUAUUCAGCCUUUAUGGAUUGACGUGGGUGGGUCAGUGAGAUCUUGCAAAGUACAUGAUAUGUUGUUGGAUCUUAUUUUGUACAAGUGUGCUGAAGAGAAUUUUAUCACUCCAGUAGACAACCCAGAGGCCAUUACAGGACAGCUUCAAAAGCCCCGUCGGAUGCUCUUCAACUUGGCUGGUGCAACAUUGCCAGGGGACGUUAGUAUGUCACAAGUGCGGUCAUUUGCAAUGUGGAGAGGCUCCAUGAAUAUACCGUCAUUGUCAUAUUUUAAGUAUCUUCGAGUUUUUAUUGCUGACUUCCGUUUCAGUUCUGCUGAUGACAACCAGAAAAUCAACCUGAUAGGACUGUGUAAGUUAUAUCAGCUGCGACAUAAACAGAUUCGUGGCUGUUGGAACUGCCAGCUACCAACCCAAAUUAGAGGGUUACAGAUGCUGGAAACAUUCCAUAUAGAUGGGUCCUGUAUCCCAAUGGAUAUUUUUCUCCUGCCGCACUUGUUGGAUCUGCGUGUUCCAGGCGUUAAAAGGCUGCCUGAGGGCAUUGGUAAAGUGAAAUCCCUACAACAUCUGUAUCCGUUUGACACACUGCACACCUCACUCGACAGUAUCAAGGGCCUAGAGCUCACCAAUCUGAGUUCUCUAGUUCUCACAACCGUUUUUUCUGAAGAUGUGGACAUGGAUGUUCUAAACUCUUCUUUGGCAAAACUUUGUAACCUUGAGUGGCUGAAGAUAUUUUCAUCUUCGAUACCUGAGGCACUAACCUUGUCGCCUCCUCCCCCCAACCUUGUGACACUGCUCAUGAGGAAAAGGUCCGGCCGUGCCCCUAACUGGAUUGGGGAACUCCAUAACCUCCAGAACUUGGAUCUCACUGUCGAGAAGCUGAACAAGGAUGGUGUUGGUAUUCUUGCGGAGUUACCAGCCCUCAUCUACCUGCAAUUAAAGUUUGAUAGAGCACUGGAAGAAACAAUUGCCAUCGAUGGGGCAGCAUUCCCGGUCCUAAAGCGGUUUGAUGUCACGUGGGAAAACAUGCGACACCUGGCCUUCCAAGCUGGGGCAAUGCCUAAACUCCAGAGGCUCCAUCUAGACUUGAACGCCAGAGGGUGGAACCAGGACGAGAAUGCCGCACCUACAGGUAUCGAGCACUUGUUAGCACUUGAAAGAAUCUAUGUAAUGAUCGUUAGUGGUACUGAAUAUGAAAAGAGAAGCGCGGAGUCAGCCAUUAGGAGCGCUAUCAACAUGCAUCCUAGCCAUGCUCACAUUACCCAAAAAGGCUUUCGCCCCGCUUUAUAUUAUAAAGCCAACCGCACAACAAGCAUCCAACAAGGUCCAACACACACACACGCACACACAUACGGAGGUCCACAGGGACAAAUAGUACACGAAGAUGGAUUACUGCAUUGUUUAAGCUGA
Molecule: ribosomal RNA, 1869 nt
Filed under: Triticum aestivum (bread wheat)
Lineage: Eukaryota; Viridiplantae; Streptophyta; Magnoliopsida; Poales; Poaceae
Description: partial small subunit ribosomal RNA
Source: RNAcentral